ACGGGGCCCGCACAAGCGGAGGAACAUGUUGGUUUAAUUCGAUGAUACGCGAGGUAACCUUACCUGGGCUUAAAUGAGGAGUGACAGCGUGGCGAAAGUUGGUUUUCUUCGGACACUCUUCAAGGUGCUGCAUGGUUGUCGUCAGCUCGUGCCGUGAGGUGUCGGGUUAAGUCCCAUAACGAGCGCAACCCUUACUGUUAGUUGCCAGCGGGUAAUGCCGGGAACUCUAGCGGGACUGCCACCGUAAGGUGAGAGGAAGGUGGGGAUGACGUCAAAUCAGCACGGCCCUUAUGUCCAGGGCUACACACGUGUUACAAUGGCCGGUACAAAGGGCAGCUACACCGCGAGGUGAUGCUAAUCUCGAAAGCCGGUCUCAGUUCGGAUCGAAGUCUGCAACCCGACUUCGUGAAGUUGGAUUCGCUAGUAAUCGCGCAUCAGCCAUGGCGCGGUGAAUACGUUCCCGGGCCUU
Molecule: ribosomal RNA, 469 nt
Filed under: uncultured Sphingobacteriales bacterium
Lineage: Bacteria; Pseudomonadati; Bacteroidota; Sphingobacteriia; Sphingobacteriales
Description: bacterial SSU rRNA
Rfam family: Bacterial small subunit ribosomal RNA
Source: RNAcentral